Molecule: ribosomal RNA, 407 nt
Filed under: uncultured bacterium
Lineage: Bacteria
Description: bacterial SSU rRNA
Rfam family: Bacterial small subunit ribosomal RNA
Source: RNAcentral
AGAGUUUGAUCAUGGCUCAGAUUGAACGCUGGCGGUAUGCUUAACACAUGCAAGUCGAACGGAAACGAUACUAGCUUGCUAGUAGGCGUCGAGUGGCGGACGGGUGAGUAACGCGUAGGAAUCUGCCUGAUAGUGGGGGAUAGCCCGAAGAAAUUCGGAUUAAUACCGCAUAAUCUAUUCGUAGUAAAGUGGGGGACUUUCGAGCCUCACGCUAUCAGAUGAGCCUGCGUAAGAUUAGCUUGUUGGUGGGGUAAAAGCCCACCAAGGCGACGAUCUUUAGCUGGUCUGAGAGGAUGAUCANCCACAUCGGGACUGAGACACGGCCCGAACUCCUNCNNNAGCCACCAGUGGGGAAUAUUGGACAAUGGGGGCAACCCUGAUCCANCAAUACCGCGUGUGUGAAGAAG